AUUGAUGUUGUUUUAAUUGAUUCAUACACCAUAUCUGUAUUCCUUUUUGUUCUUCAGAUUUAUGAGAGUUCAUGCCAAACUUUGCUUUAUUCUUUCUUUCCAAUAGGACAGAUGAUGUUAUGGACUGAUUUGGAGAAAUAGCAAUAUAUUUGUUUGGGCGGCAGGUAGAGAGAAAAAGAUAGAAGAAGGAAGAACCCUGCAGAAGGGAGAAGAUACUCGGUAAAGCUUAUCUCUUGAUUUCCUAGUAUGCCAUUUGCAAUUUGUCUGUUGCUUCUCAUGCACCUGAUUUUCUGCCCUUCCAAUGACAGGUGAUGCAUGGUUCAUAGAGGUGAGAUGAGCACCCAACUAGGCAACUAUUGCAGUAUGAUUUCCUCUGCACCUUUAUUGACGAUAGCAUACACUGAAGCUUCAACCACUUUCUUUCUUCUGGACUCGAUUUUGUCAGUAUGAGCAGUAGAACUUGGUGCAUACAGAUCAGAUGGCUAUUCUUCUGUUGACGAGAACUCACUGCACUGAAGCUUCAACUACACUUUUGACAGUGUGCAGAAAAUACGAGCAACAGAGUGAGCUUUCAAGCUCAGACAAAGUGGACGAAGGGAUCAAACUAGUCACAUGGUGAGAAGAAUACUUUGCAUUUUUCCUUUCAAAUUAUAUAAAGGUUUGCAGCGAGCUAGUCACAAUUAUUGUUUCUUCUGCUCCUACAGAAAGAAAAUUAACUUGCCUAUAAAAAGUCAGGUAUCGAUUCUUUCGUUGUUAUUGCUUUUAUAAGAAACAUGCUGUUGUUGUUGGUGAUGUUAUGCUUUGUGUUUUGAAAUUGCGAGCAUGUGAAUUAUUCAGUGAACUUGUUUUUUAGAAUUAAGAAAGCUAGACAACGAAGUGCAAAACAAAUGGUUGUAUUUCUGCAAAUGAUAGCUUGUGAUGUUAAAGGUAGUCACAAAGGGAGAAACUGUCCAAAUUAUCUCAGGCCCUUAAAGCUGAACAAAUUUAUCAAACAUGUUCGACAAAAGAGAGAGACCCUGAGAUAUAUUUACAAUUCUUUUACUAUGAAUGGACAUAAACUUUGUCAUCUUUGACAAGCUGUUCUUCAACCUGUCACAGAUGAUCAUCUGUGAUGGGUUUUGAUCACAGAUGUGAGUCAUCUGUGAUGGGUUGAACUUACAACCCGGCAGUGAUGUGGUUUUACUCAAAAAAAAAAUUAAUUUGUUUUAUUGGCUAGCCUCAAGUAAUUGCUAGCCAUGCCCACUGCAAAAACAAAUAGAAUGGAUAUAUCCCUAGAAAAUAAGAAUGGAUACAUCCCACACAUCCACAUAUAUAGCUUCUCAUACAUUCCAAAUUAACAUGCUUAAUCGACUUUGUCUAGAAAACCAUUGGAUGGUAAGGUUCUCAAGCUGUUGUUCCCCAUUCUGGCAAUCACAAUUCAGAGACAACAUAAGGUGCUCUAGUUCAGGUAGAGAGAUACAAAGUCGAGCAUAUAUAGCCCCUAUUUGAAAUGAAUGCACACCCCUAGAUAAAGAAAAGCUGUAAUGUAGAGUGAACUCUGAGAUAACAAUGUGGACAAACCUUAGAUCCUUGAGUGAUGGGAAGGUGAGCCUAGCUCCUCUUGAAAAAGAAGAGAUUCAACCUAGCAGAAGCUCGGUGUUUCUUUAUUAAGAAGAAGAAAUAGGCACACAAAUUUGAGUUGAAGAGGACUCAAAAUUAAGUUGUUUGGAUGCACGAGGGCACCUAUCUGAGCUAGCUAGGCUAGGGACACUUCCUGCGUGUCCCCUCUUAAGAUACUGUAAUUGGUUAGGUGAAGUAGCUGGACGAGUGGAAGACAGAGCAUUGCCCUGGUAGCUCAUUGCGACAGUCGUAAAGCUAAGGACAAGCUCCUUGAGGUUCCCCAUGUUAAGAGAAUUGCAAUUGCGAAUCCAACACCAAAUCCGAGUCCGGCAAAAAGGAACAACACAAUGUCUAUUGACACCUUCUCUGAUUGAUGUAGAACCGUAUCUGAUGAUAUGUUGUUGCAUGCUUUGGACAGCUGAAGUCCACAGAGACCCAUGUUUCCUAGAAAUGAGAGAUUAGAGAAUGUCAAGAAGUGGGGAGACUCGGGUAUUCUUCCCUCCAACUUAUUGUAGGACAUAUUCAACGUCGAAAGGAAGUCCAGUGAUGCCAACUCUUGUGGAAUCUCUCCUGAAAGAUCAUUUGAAGAGAGGUCGAGCGACUCGAGUUGAUGUAGCAUGCCGAGCUGAGAUGGGAUCAGUCCAGUGAGGGCAUUAUGUGACAUGUUUACCCCACUAAGUAGAACUAGGUCCCCAAUAGACUGGGGAAUGGCACCAUAGAACGCAUUAUCCGAAACAUCAAUGACUACAAUUGUCCUCAAUAUCUUCGAAAAAGUAAUAUCAGACCCUUUGUAUGUGAUGGCAGUGGUGAUUUGGUAUGUUUGGCCAAGUAGAUCAUAUUGAUUUUCCAUGACCAGCGUCUCAUUGACUGUUUUAGUCAUCAUGGAUUUCAUUGUUCUAAACCAUUCAUUUUGUAAUAGUCCAGAGAAAUUGUUUGAAGCCAAGUCAAAAAUUCGAAGUUUUAUAAACUCACAACUAUUUUUAUCUCCAGGAACAGAAGGCCCCACAUUCCCGACAAACUUGUUGGAUUUCAGAACAAGGACUUGAAGUUUAGGAAGCAUACUCAUCCAACAUGGAAAUUUAUCAUCAA
RNAcentral lists this long non-coding RNA (2688 nucleotides) under Oryza sativa (Asian cultivated rice). RNAcentral describes it as "long non-coding RNA (OSAT_LNC000755)". Lineage: Eukaryota; Viridiplantae; Streptophyta; Magnoliopsida; Poales; Poaceae. The record is from RNAcentral.